ACGGCCAUACCAUACUGAAUAUACCGGUUCUCGUUAGAUCACCGAAGUCAAGCAUUAUUGCGCGGUACUUGGGUGUGACCACCUCGAAACACCGCGUGCCGUUG
Molecule: non-coding RNA, 104 nt
Organism: Caerostris extrusa
Lineage: Eukaryota; Metazoa; Arthropoda; Arachnida; Araneae; Araneidae
Source: the annotation of a GenBank genome assembly